RNAcentral lists this ribosomal RNA (440 nucleotides) under uncultured bacterium. RNAcentral's name for it is "partial 16S ribosomal RNA". It matches the Rfam family "Bacterial small subunit ribosomal RNA", at positions 338 to 795 of the family's 1533-position model. The record is from RNAcentral.
CCUACGGGAGGCUGCAGUGGGGAAUAUUGCACAAUGGGGGAAACCCUGAUGCAGCGACGCCGCGUGAGUGAAGAAGUAUUUCGGUACGUAAAGCUCUAUCAGCAGGGAAGAAAAUGACGGUACCUGACUAAGAAGCCCCGGCUAACUACGUGCCAGCAGCCGCGGUAAUACGGAGGGGGCAAGCGUUAUCCGGAUUUACUGGGUGUAAAGGGAGCGUAGACGGCAGCGCAAGUCUGGAGUGAAAUCCCAUGGCUUAACCAUGGAACUGCUUUGGAAACUGUGCAGCUAGAGUGCAGGAGAGGUAAGCGGAAUUCCUAGUGUAGCGGUGAAAUGCGUAGAUAUUAGGAGGAACACCAGUGGCGAAGGCGGCUUACUGGACUGUAACUGACGUUGAGGCUCGAAAGCGUGGGGAGCAAACAGGAUUAGAUACCCCAGUAGUC